Molecule: ribosomal RNA, 470 nt
Filed under: Cephalopina titillator
Lineage: Eukaryota; Metazoa; Arthropoda; Insecta; Diptera; Oestridae
Description: partial large subunit ribosomal RNA
Source: RNAcentral
UCCUUUAGAAUUUUAUUUAAGGUUUGACCUGCCCACUGAUUUAUUGAAUGGCCGCAGUAUUUUAACUGUGCAAAGGUAGCAUAAUCCUUUGUUUUUUAAUUGGAGGCUGGAAUGAAUGGUUGGACGAAAUAUUGACUGUUUCACUUUAAUUUUUUAUAGAAUUUUAUUUUUUAGUUAAAAAGCUAAAAUUUAUUUAAAAGACGAGAAGACCCUAUAAAUCUUUAUAUUUCUGUAAAAAAGGAAUUUUUAGGUUGUAUUUAUUUUGUUUUUUUAAUAAUAUUUUAUUGGGGUGAUGUUAAAAUUUAAUGAACUUUUAAUUAUAAUUUUCAUUUAUUUAUGAGUGUUUGAUCCAUUAUUGGUGAAUAAAAAAAUAAGUUACUUUAGGGAUAACAGCGUAAUUUUUUUGGAGAGUUCUUAUCGAUAAAAAGGAUUGCGACCUCGAUGUUGGAUUAAGAGAUGUAUUUGGGUGU